GACGGAGGAUGCAAGUGUUAUCCGGAAUCACUGGGCGUAAAGCGUCUGUAGGUGGUUUAAUAAGUCAACUGUUAAAUCUUGAGGCUCAACCUCAAAUCGCAGUCGAAACUAUUAGGCUAGAGUAUAGUAGGGGUAAAGGGAAUUUCCAGUGGAGCGGUGAAAUGCGUAGAGAUUGGAAAGAACACCCGAUGGCGAAGGCACUUUACUGGGCUAUUACUAACACUCAGAGACGAAAGCUAGGGUAGCA
RNAcentral lists this ribosomal RNA (247 nucleotides) under uncultured bacterium. RNAcentral describes it as "partial 16S ribosomal RNA". It matches the Rfam family "Bacterial small subunit ribosomal RNA", at positions 524 to 770 of the family's 1533-position model. The record is from RNAcentral.